This 4999-nucleotide long non-coding RNA is filed under the name Gossypium barbadense (sea-island cotton). RNAcentral's name for it is "long non-coding RNA (GBAR_LNC016509)". Lineage: Eukaryota; Viridiplantae; Streptophyta; Magnoliopsida; Malvales; Malvaceae. The record is from RNAcentral.
AUCAGCCUCCGCCGUUCCUCCUCAUCUCUGUUCCUUGGCCUCGUCAUCUCUGUCAGUCGACCGUCGUCAAGUCUAUAUUUUGAAGAAACCCUAAAAAAUUAGCAGCCACAGGUAUAUCACUAUCUUCUUUCUUAUUUAUGCUCAUGCUGGUUCUACUCUAAUAGCAGAUUUGUAAUGCCUGUUGGUUCACCUCUUCUCGUUAGGUUGCCAAAAAAUUAUAGCCUGAAUCGUCACCUCUUCUCGCGAUUCAUUGAAGGUGGAUUUCUACUCACAUUCUUGAUUGCAAGCUCUAGGUAAUUGUUAGGGAUUUCUGCAUAUUUGUAUUAGCAUUUUAUUUUUUAUUUUGUUCAAUUGUCGAGGUUCGACGAAUGAAGUAGGAUUGAGAUGUAAACUUGAGGAAUUCAAAAUUGGUAAUUUUUUAGCUUCAACUGGCUUUACUGUGUUAAAUGGAGCAUUUCAUUUUAUGAAACUGGAUUUUGUUGAUUAGUCAAAAAAAAUAUGAAGAAACUGAAUUUUGUUCAUUUUAAUCUUGGCUUGGAUUUAAACUUGGGGAAUAUUUUGAAAGUUAACUGCAGAUCAGAUGGAUGGGAAUAUUAUGUGGUGUAAGGGCAUCAUACAUUACAUACAUACAUUGAAUUCGUGCAUACAUUCACAUAUAUGUUUUCCAGUUUUUUAUUACAGUAAUAACAUGAGCCAUGUAUAUGUAUGUAUAUACUGUUGGGAGUUGGGACAUAUGUUCCAAAUAUAAUAGACAUGUGAUCUCAUUUUCUUGUAAAUUGUAUUUCUCCAUGCAUUCUUAUUCUAUACAUUUCAGUUAUAAUAGCCAUGUAUAUGUAUGUAUAUACUGUUGGGAGUUGGGACAUAUGUUCCAAAUAUAAUAGACAUGUGAUCUCAAACGAAUAUUCAGUUUUUCUUGUAAAUUGUAUUUCUCCAUGCAUUCUCCUUCUAUACAUUUCAUUCAAUGGAUUAUUGGGUACUUUUUCUAAUUCUGGGUUUCACCCUGCUUCCUUCUCCUUAUGGUUCUUGGUUGAGUUACUUGCAUUUAGUGUAUGGAUUAUUCGUUGGUUUUUUUAUGGAGGGCAGUAAGGUGUUUUAGUCAUCCCAUAAAUCAUGAUUACAUAAAUUAAUUAGCUGAGCCCGACCAUCUUUAAUCCUCCCCGACAUUACAAUCAAGCUUAGUAAGAUUAUGGGAAAACUGAUGUUCUAGCUGAAAAGUGUGGUGAAAAACACGACCCCAAAUGCAAGACCAAGUCCAAAAUAUCAUUAAGCAAACCACUCCACACCCAAAAACUAGGACUCAAACUAUUUAUCUCUGUUACUGCUAACGUAUAAUCACUUUCCACUACUACAUUCGAGGGUCGAUAUUCAGCUGCUAGUUCCAAGCUGAACAGAAUGGCCUUCACCUCUGUAUUGAGCACAUGAUCACAGCAUGAAGUUCUUUAGUCUUUAUUACCUUUAAAAAAUUAUCAAGUUUUUGAUGAGUUAUUGUUGUUUAAAAACUUGAAAAUAAAUAAAUACAAAAAAAUACAAAGGCAGUGUUUGGCUGUUUCUUUUGAUACUUCUUUUUUGUUUUUUGCUUUCAGAAGCAAAAAAUUAAAAGUGCUUUUGGAAUAGAAAGUACAUUAGAGUUUUAAAAUUCAAGAAUAAUAUAAUUAUUUUGAAGGAAAAAAGUGUAAUUUUAGUUUAUAUAUAGAAAAAGUUAAAUUAUAAUUAAUGGUUAGUCACUUUCUCAAAUUUAGCAAGUUACUAUGAUAUUAAUUUUUAAAAUUCUUUUGCUUUAAAGUAACUAUUUUAGUUAUCUUGAAGCUGGUUAAAUCCAAACUGCGACUACGAUGUGGCAUAAGUUUUUAUUAUGCUUACAGAACAAGAUAAAAUGGUCAUAUAAUUAUGUUCUAGAAAGAUAGUCACAUGAUAUAAAAAUUGUCCUCGGAAUUGAACCCUAUAUUGAAGAGACAUUAAGCCCUCAAUUUAGAAGCUGCAUGCUUUGAGCUCCCUUGAUUAGUCAUAACUUCUUCAAAGGCAAAAUGAUGAUUGUAGCAAGCAUACACACCUUUUUGCGUUUGUAGUAAAACUGGAAAAAGUUCCCUAGUUCUUGAACUUGUGUCCUCAGUUCUCACGAUAGAGCCCUCUGCUUCUAGAUUUUUUACUUAGUUCUCUGAUUUAUUUUUUUGUUCAUAUGCAGUGAAUGGUGCUUGUGGUUGAUUUGCAUCCUUGUUUUAUUGCAUUAGUCCUGUAGUCUUCCUCAUUGUUGUCUUAAGUUGGUUAUGAAUAAUUUCAACUACUAUGUUUCCCAUUGCAAUGCUUUCAUUGCAACCCUUCAUUUUAAAAUAUUGCUGUAGGCUUUCUUUUGCUUCCGUUUUCAGUUGUAUAAUUAUUUUCAUUUGUCCCUGGUUGACGUCUGGUAUUGUAUCUACUAUAUAAAUCCUUCCUCUCUUUUCCCUUGUUCUUUGUAGGAGAAACUGUUUCAAAGGAUUUUAAAGCAGCAAGAGGAAGGAUCACGGGUUACAACAACUGAUAUAGUUUCAUAUUUGCAGGUAUCUUCUAUGAUUUCUUGCUCUUAUUGUUUUGAUGAAUCUGCUUGGCUAAUGGUGGUUCUUUUACUUUAGUACCAUUCUUAUACUCAAUUUAUAUCCUUUAUAUUAAACUUAAUGCUUCAACCAACAGUGUGUUUCUGCACCACUCCGGUGAUUUCAACUGUAGUGUCCAAACAGUUAAGUACUUAAAAUAUUUACACAUUUACAAGAAUAUUGCAGGCUAAAUUUGUUAAAUCAUGACCAAAUUGAUGGAAUAUGUAAUUUAUGAUCACUAAAGUUGUUAUUUUACCAGUCAAAUUUUAUCUUAAUAUAAAAUUAAAUAAUUUUUUUGAUAAGAACAUUUAAUUUCUCAAAAAAUUAUUAAUGCAAUUAUAAUUAACUUUUGAUAUGUAUGUAUGCACUUUAGUCAUGGUAACUUUUAGUCAUAUAUGUGAUCUUAUGAAAAUCUUGCAUCUUUUUUUUGUAGUGAUCAAAUAUUUGUGUGGCAUAAUUUUGUGUAGAUGGAUUGUAAUCAACAUCAAAAUGCAAUUGUCAGAGUCGUGGCUUCAGUUUUAGCUUUUGGGGCUCUUUGGAUUAAAAAAUUAAAAACUAGGAAGGAAAUUGCUUCUCACCCUCGUGUGAAUCAAGAUUAUGAAAGAAAAAAAUUAUAUUAAUAGUAUUUUAUAUAGUGGUGACCAGCAUUGUAUUGAUGUGAUAAGGAUGAGACUGAUCACCAUUUUUAAUUUGUGUGAUAUUCUUAGUAGGAAUAAUUUGUUACAAUCAUCUAAAUCUGUCAAUAUUAGGGAGCAAGUAGUUAUAAUUUUACAUAUAAUUGGUCAUAAUGUAAGGUUUCGAGUGAUUGGAUCUAGAUAUUAUAGAUCAACUAAGACAGUUUACCGUUACAUUAGGGUUGUAUUGAGAGCUAUUUUGAAAUUGUAUAAACUAGUUAUUAGAUUACCUGAUGAGUCAACUCCUAGUGAAAUCAGAAACAAUCCAAGGUUUUAUCCUUAUUUUAAAGAUUGUAUUGGAGCAUUAGAUGGAACUCAUGUUUGUGCAUUCGUUCCACUUAGCAUUCAAGGAAGAUUUCGUAGCUGUAAAGGGGGGACGACACAAAAUGUAUUGGCUGCCAUUACAUUUGAUUUGAAAUUUUCCUAUAUUCUGGCUGGUUGGGAAGGUAGUGCACAUGAUUCUCGUAUUUUAAGUAAUGCACUUUCAUGCCCAAGAGGAUUAAGAAUUUUGAAAGGUAAUAAUUAUCAUUAAACACCAAAUAGUUUUAGUAAGCUCAUAAUUUAUUAGUAUUAAUUAUGUUUUGUAAAAUUGUAGGUAAAUAUUAUCUUGCUGAUGCUGGAUAUGGCAUCCGAAAUGGAUAUACUACCCCAUAUCGUGGUGUCCGAUAUCAUUUAAAAGAGUUUAGUGUUCAAGGGCCUGAAAAUGCAAAGGAACUCUUCAAUCUUCGUCAUUCAUCAUUACGAAUCACUAUUGAACGUGUUUUUAGGAUUUUGAAGAAACGAUUUCGUGUAUUAGAUGCUGAACCAUUUUGGAAUUUUCAAACUCAAGUAGAUAUAGUUUUGGCUUGUUGUAUCAUUCAUAAUCAUAUAAUGGGAGUUGAUCCUAGUGAUUUACUUAAUCAAGGAUUAUACGAGGAGCUUGAGUCUGAUUUGAUAAUACCAACUCUUACGGAGCGAGAAGAAAGAGAAUAACCAAGAGAAUGGUCUGCUAAGAAAGACGAAAUUGCACAAAUUAUGUGGACUAAUUAUAUGGUUAGAAAUAUUAGGUAGGUUUAAGUCUUAGGGUUAUUGUUUCUAUGUUAUGUAUGUUUAGUAUUAAAAAUUGUUUUUUUUUUUGUUAAUGUUGGUUGGAUAUUGAAAUGAUUGACAAUGACAAUUAUUAAUGUAAAAUGGGUAAGGGCAACAAAGAAGGGACCUCCAAGAAAUUCAGGUGGACAAAACUGAUGGAUCAUCUUUUUCUUGAAAUUCUAGCAGAGGAGGCCCAGAGAGGAAAUAAGCCUUCUAAUACUUUCAAAGCACUUUCUAUUAAUCGAGUUGCCGAAGCUAUUUCUAAAAGAUUUCAAGUCCAAUACGAUGCGAAGCAUGUGGAAAAUCAUUUGAGGACUGUAAAAAACCAGUGGCAGAUUAUAUGCACAAUUCGGGGUGAAAGUGGUUUUGGAUGGGAUGAUAACAUGAAAAUGAUCACAUGUGAUAGAGCGACAUAUGAUGCAGCAGUGAUGAUAAUAUAUGUAUAUAUAUGUUAAGCAUAUUUCAAUUGUUUUUUUACUUGUUAUUCUAAUUGUGUAUAAUAUCCAAUAGGCACACAAGAAGUAUGAACCAUUUUUGAAUAAAAGCAUUGAUCAUUAUAAUGAAAUGGCUUUGGUUGUUGGCAAAGAUAUGGCAACAGGGAGUUUUGCCAGAACAUUUGCUGACAUAGAUUUGGAUGAUGGUAAUCAAGAUUCAGUGCAUGUAGACUGCAACAAUGAAGAGGCUGAAGAG